UGGGGAAUUUUGCACAAUGGGGGCAACCCUGAUGCAGCGACGCCGCGUGAUUUAGAAGGCCUUCGGGUUGUAAAAAUCUUUUGUAUAGGAAGAAAAUGACAGUACUAUACGAAUAAGGUCCGGCUAAUUACGUGCCAGCAGCCGCGGUAAUACGUAAGGACCGAGCGUUGUCCGGAAUCAUUGGGCGUAAAGGGUACGUAGGCGGUUAAAAAAGUUAGAAGUGAAAGGCUAUAGCUCAACUAUAGUAAGCUUUUAAAACUGUUUAACUUGAGAGAUGGAAGGGAAAGUGGAAUUCCUAGUGUAGCGGUGAAAUGCCCAGAUAUUAGGAGGAAUACCGGUGGCGAAGGCGACUUUCUGGCCAUUAUCUGACGCUGAGGUACGAAAGCGUGGGUAGCAAACAGG
Molecule: ribosomal RNA, 402 nt
Filed under: Actinomycetes bacterium
Lineage: Bacteria; Bacillati; Actinomycetota; Actinomycetes
Description: Actinobacteria bacterium partial 16S ribosomal RNA
Rfam family: Bacterial small subunit ribosomal RNA
Source: RNAcentral